GCCCGUGUGGCGCAACGGUAGCGUGUUGGCCUCCUAACAGAGAUGUUUUGUAAGCCAAAGGCUGCGGGUUCGAGUCCCGCCUCGGGUU
RNAcentral lists this transfer RNA (88 nucleotides) under Neolecta irregularis DAH-3. It matches the Rfam family "tRNA". Rfam says of the family: Transfer RNA (tRNA) molecules are approximately 80 nucleotides in length. Their secondary structure includes four short double-helical elements and three loops (D, anti-codon, and T loops). Lineage: Eukaryota; Fungi; Ascomycota; Neolectomycetes; Neolectales; Neolectaceae. The record is from Rfam by way of RNAcentral.